Molecule: non-coding RNA, 344 nt
Organism: Heterocephalus glaber (naked mole-rat)
Lineage: Eukaryota; Metazoa; Chordata; Mammalia; Rodentia; Bathyergidae
Source: RefSeq, a predicted model, not a curated record
ACCUGGACGCGAACCCGUGGUUUCUGUCUUGGUGUUCGGUGCUGUUUCAAUCCUGUAGCUGAUCGGGGGAUUAGAGAGUUUCUCAGAUGCCAUGAGCGGUAGGAUUCCUCCUCCAUGUCUUUCUGCCAUUAUGUUUCUGCCUUGGAGCCAGGGGAAAAUGGACUGCAACCUCUGAAAUGGAUAAUGUCUGGAGUAGACCAAGUGUCCAGGAACAUCAGCCUAGCUCUUCCCUGAAGAUUGCCCCCACCUCUAACCCUGCAUAAGUCACUUCCCCAAAACUUGGGGUCUUUGCAUGUGGAAGCCGAGAUGUGCCAGAACAUAGUUGGAGCCAGUGUGGAUGCAUG